RNAcentral lists this ribosomal RNA (255 nucleotides) under uncultured bacterium. RNAcentral's name for it is "partial 16S ribosomal RNA". It matches the Rfam family "Bacterial small subunit ribosomal RNA", at positions 524 to 776 of the family's 1533-position model. The record is from RNAcentral.
UACGGGGGGGAGCAAGCGUUGUUCGGAUUUACUGGGCGUAAAGGGCGCGUAGGCGGUCGUGACAAGUCACUUGUGAAAUCUCCGGGCUUAACUCGGAACGGUCAAGUGAUACUGUCGUGCUAGAGUACAGAAGGGGCAACUGGAAUUCUCGGUGUAGCGGUGAAAUGCGUAGAUAUCGAGAGGAACACCUGCGGCGAAGGCGGGUUGCUGGGCUGAUACUGACGCUGAGGCGCGAAAGCUAGGGGAGCGAACGGG